AACGCGAAGAACCUUACCCAGGUUUGACAUCUUCGGAAGGCUUCCGAAAGGAAACUGUGCCGUAAGGAACCGAAUGACAGGUGAUGCAUGGCCGUCGUCAGCUCGUGUCGUGAGAUGUUUGGUUAAGUCCAUCAACGAGCGCAACCCUUAUAGUUAGUUGUAUUUUUCUAGCUAGACUGCCCUGGUAACAGGGAGGAAGGGGGGGAUGAUGUCAGGUCAGUAUUUCCCUUACAUCUGGGGCUACAAACACGCUACAAUGGCCGGUACAAAGGGCAGCCAAGUCGCGAGACGGAGCAAACCCCAUCAAAGCCGGUCUCAGUUCGGAUAGCAGGCUGAAACUCGCCUGCUUGAAGCCGGAAUCGCUAGUAACGGUGAGUCAGCACAUCACCGUGAAUACGUUCCCGGGUCUUGUACACACGC
RNAcentral lists this ribosomal RNA (420 nucleotides) under uncultured Candidatus Saccharibacteria bacterium. RNAcentral describes it as "bacterial SSU rRNA". It matches the Rfam family "Bacterial small subunit ribosomal RNA", at positions 958 to 1393 of the family's 1533-position model. The record is from RNAcentral. Lineage: Bacteria; Candidatus Saccharimonadota.